Molecule: small RNA, 130 nt
Filed under: Salmonella enterica
Lineage: Bacteria; Pseudomonadati; Pseudomonadota; Gammaproteobacteria; Enterobacterales; Enterobacteriaceae
Also listed under: 2 other names
Description: RtT sRNA
Rfam family: RtT RNA
About the family: This family represents a bacterial cis-regulatory element known as RtT RNA. The exact function of RtT is unknown although it is thought that it may be involved in changing the cellular response in relation to amino acid starvation.
Source: RNAcentral
AUAUCUCUCCGUACGGGAAGGAUGAGAAGCUUCGACUAAGGUUCGAUUCGAGCGCAGCGAGAAAGCGUUGCCGCAGGCAACGACCCGAAGGGCGAAGCGCGCAGCGCUGAGUCAUCCUUCCCCACCACCA